AGGACGAACGCUGGCGGCGUGCUUAACACAUGCAAGUGGGGCGACGAACCAGGCUUCGGCCUGGGGCAAAGCCGCGAACGGGUGAGUAACACGUGGGUAACCUGCCCCGAAGAUCGGGACAACCCGGGGAAACCCGGGCUAAUACCGGAUGUGGUCACUGUUCACAAGGACGGUGAGCAAAGGGAGCUUCGGCCCCCGCUUCGGGAUGGGCCCGCGGCCCAUUAGCUUGUUGGUGAGGUAACGGCUCACCAAGGCAACGAUGGUAGCUGGUCUGAGAGGACGAUCAGCCACACUGGGACUGAGACACGGCCCAGACUCCUACGGGAGGCAGCAGUGGGAAUCUUGCGCAAUGCGCGAAAGCGUGACGCAGCAACGCCGCGUGGGGGAAGACGGCCUUCGGUUGUAACCCUUCGAGGAGGGACGAAGCGUUCGGAGUAGAACAGCUCUCCGGAGUGACGGUACCUCCGAGAAGAACGCCCGGACUAACUACGU
RNAcentral lists this ribosomal RNA (492 nucleotides) under uncultured soil bacterium. RNAcentral describes it as "bacterial SSU rRNA". It matches the Rfam family "Bacterial small subunit ribosomal RNA", at positions 26 to 506 of the family's 1533-position model. The record is from RNAcentral.